AAAUUUAAUAGAAAAUUCUACUUAACAUCAAUAGCAAGACCAAUACUUCCGAUUUGAAAUUUGAAUUCUUUAUCAUUAUUUUUUAUGAGAUUUUCAUUUUCAGCCGUUCAUUUUUAGACUACUCGUUUAAUUGGUAAAUGACGCCGAAAAAUUAUGAAAUUUAGUUUCCAAGUACUUUCAAUAGUGUAGAUCAAGUCUAACGGAGCCGAUCGUCAAUUUAGAAGCCGCGUCAUUAAAAACAACUUGGUAGCAUGGAGACCUCCGUGCUACCGAUAGUAUACCAGCCUAGCUCUAUAUAUAUAUAUAUAUAUAUAUAUAUAGAGAGAGAUGAGCUGAAAUGCUAUCAAUAGCAAGCGGGCUCUGUUGCCACCUAUUUGUUUUCGAUGAUGAAGCCUUCAAAUCGACGAUCAGUAUUAUUGAACAUAAUCUAUACCACUUGAAGUAUCUAGAAACCAAAUUUCAAAUCUUUUCGACAUCAUUGACCUAAUGAUCAAAGAGUUUCAAAUUUUGUAAUUUUAAUGNN
This 523-nucleotide long non-coding RNA is filed under the name Ananas comosus (pineapple). Its description in RNAcentral is "long non-coding RNA (ACOM_LNC040531)". The record is from RNAcentral. Lineage: Eukaryota; Viridiplantae; Streptophyta; Magnoliopsida; Poales; Bromeliaceae.